AACGCAUAUGGCACCUACCAGCCCUGCUGGAAGGUAUGCCUGUUUGAGAAUCACACUAUCACUCUGAUCUGAUUGCAUCCACGUGCAGUCGGUCGACAUGGGCCUUCAGCACUGAUCGCCUCGAAUUGCUCGCGAUCGUCGUGGUAGACAGGGGUGUGGCAGCGAUGCCAUCCAGUGUUGUCGACGAUCAACCCGUGCUCGUGAUCUCAAAUCAGGCAAGGCUACCCGCUGAACUUAA
This 238-nucleotide unclassified non-coding RNA is filed under the name uncultured Rozellomycota. Its description in RNAcentral is "uncultured Cryptomycota sequence contains ITS2". The record is from RNAcentral. Lineage: Eukaryota; Fungi; Rozellomycota.